Phrynosoma platyrhinos (Desert horned lizard) is the source of this 72-nucleotide non-coding RNA. NCBI's taxonomy places the organism in Eukaryota, Metazoa, Chordata, Lepidosauria, Squamata, Phrynosomatidae. The record is from the annotation of a GenBank genome assembly.
GCUAGCAUGGUGUAGUGGUCUGAAUGUUGGACUAGGGCUCUGGAGACCAGGGUUCAAAUUCCGGUUGUGCCA